This 30-nucleotide non-coding RNA is filed under the name Mus musculus (house mouse). Lineage: Eukaryota; Metazoa; Chordata; Mammalia; Rodentia; Muridae. The record is from RNAcentral.
CCCAGCGCUUGGGAGGCAGAGGCAGGCAGA